This 259-nucleotide ribosomal RNA is filed under the name uncultured bacterium. RNAcentral's name for it is "partial small subunit ribosomal RNA". It matches the Rfam family "Bacterial small subunit ribosomal RNA", at positions 26 to 284 of the family's 1533-position model. The record is from RNAcentral.
AGGACGAACGCUGGCGGCGUGCUUAACACAUGCAAGUCGAGCGAGGCCCACCUUUCGGGGUGGUGUCCUAGCGGCGAACGGGUGAGUAACACGUGGGCAACCUGCCCUUAGCUUUGGGAUAACCCUCGGAAACGGGGGCUAAUACCGAAUGUUCACUGCCGGGCGCAUGUUUGGUGGUGGAAAGUUUUUUCGGCUAGGGAUGGGCUCGCGGCCUAUCAGCUUGUUGGUGGGGUGAUGGCCUACCAAGGCGAUGACGGGU